RNAcentral lists this ribosomal RNA (468 nucleotides) under uncultured bacterium. RNAcentral describes it as "partial 16S ribosomal RNA". It matches the Rfam family "Bacterial small subunit ribosomal RNA", at positions 28 to 507 of the family's 1533-position model. The record is from RNAcentral.
GACGAACGCUGGCGGCGUGCUUAACACAUGCAAGUCGAACGGAAAGGCCCUGCUUUUGUGGGGUGCUCGAGUGGCGAACGGGUGAGUAACACGUGAGUAACCUGCCCUUGACUUUGGGAUAACUUCAGGAAACUGGGGCUAAUACCGGAUAGGAGCUCCUGCUGCAUGGUGGGGGUUGGAAAGUUUCGGCGGUUGGGGAUGGACUCGCGGCUUAUCAGCUUGUUGGUGGGGUAGUGGCUUACCAAGGCUUUGACGGGUAGCCGGCCUGAGAGGGUGACCGACCACAUUGGGACUGAGAUACGGCCCAGACUCCUACGGGAGGCAGCAGUGGGGAAUAUUGCACAAUGGGCGGAAGCCUGAUGCAGCAACGCCGCGUGCGGGAUGACGGCCUUCGGGUUGUAAACCGCUUUCGCCUGUGACGAAACGUGAGUGACGGUAAUGGGUAAAGAAGCACCGGCUAACUACGUG